CCAAUAGCGUAUAUUAAAGUUGUUGCAGUUAAAAAGCUCGUAGUUGAAUUUCGGGAUCAAUAUAUCGGUCGUGCCAUUGGUACGUACUGGUAUCAUUGGUUUCUCCUUUCUGACGAACCAUGAUGUCAUUAAUUUGGUGUUAUGGGAAGUUAGGACUGUUACUUUGAAAAAAUUAGAGUGUUUAAAGCAGGCUUUAGCUUGAAUACAUUAGCAUGGAAUA
This 220-nucleotide ribosomal RNA is filed under the name uncultured Glomus. RNAcentral describes it as "partial small subunit ribosomal RNA". It matches the Rfam family "Eukaryotic small subunit ribosomal RNA", at positions 591 to 816 of the family's 1831-position model. The record is from RNAcentral. Lineage: Eukaryota; Fungi; Glomeromycota; Glomeromycetes; Glomerales; Glomeraceae.